RNAcentral lists this ribosomal RNA (423 nucleotides) under uncultured Oscillospiraceae bacterium. RNAcentral's name for it is "bacterial SSU rRNA". It matches the Rfam family "Bacterial small subunit ribosomal RNA", at positions 356 to 794 of the family's 1533-position model. The record is from RNAcentral. Lineage: Bacteria; Bacillati; Bacillota; Clostridia; Eubacteriales; Oscillospiraceae.
GGGGAAUAUUGGGCAAUGGACGCAAGUCUGACCCAGCAACGCCGCGUGAAGGAAGAAGGCUUUCGGGUUGUAAACUUCUUUUGUCAGGGAAGAGCAGAAGACGGUACCUGAUGAAUAAGCCACGGCUAACUACGUGCCAGCAGCCGCGGUAAUACGUAGGUGGCAAGCGUUAUCCGGAUUUACUGGGUGUAAAGGGCGCGUAGGCGGGGAUGCAAGUCAGGUGUGAAAUCUAUGGGCUUAACUCAUAAACUGCACUUGAAACUGUGUCUCUUGAGUGCUGGAGAGGUAGAUGGAAUUCCUUGUGUAGCGGUGAAAUGCGUAGAUAUAAGGAAGAACACCAGUGGCGAAGGCGAUCUACUGGACAGUAACUGACGCUGAGGCGCGAAAGCGUGGGGAGCAAACAGGAUUAGAUACCCUGGUAGU